GUUGUAUGGUUAAGUGACUAAGCGUACACGGUGGAUGCCUUGGCAGUCAGAGGCGAUGAAGGACGUAGUAACUUGCGAUAAGCGUAGAUGAGGCAGUAACAGCCACUUGAGUCUACGAUUUCCGAAUGGGGAAACCCACUGGCAUAAGCCAGUAUCAUUGAGUGAAUACAUAGCUCAAUGAAGCGAACCGGGAGAACUGAAACAUCUAAGUACCCCGAGGAAAAGAAAUCAACCGAGAUUCCGAAAGUAGCGGCGAGCGAAAUUGGAUUAGCCCUUAAGCUUUACAUGUGUUAGACGAACGGUCUGGAAAGUCCGACGAUACAGGGUGAUAGUCCCGUAGUUGACGAUGCAUGUUCAGUGAAAUCGAGUAGGGCGGGACACGUGUUAUCCUGUCUGAAUAUGGGGGGACCAUCCUCCAAGGCUAAAUACUCCUGACUGACCGAUAGUGAACCAGUACCGUGAGGGAAAGGCGAAAAGAACCCCUGUGAGGGGAGUGAAAUAGAACCUGAAACCGUGUACGUACAAGCAGUAGGAGCACCUUCGUGGUGUGACUGCGUACCUUUUGUAUAAUGGGUCAGCGACUUAUAUUCAGUGGCAAGGUUAACCAUCUAGGGGAGCCGUAGGGAAACCGAGUCUUAACUGGGCGCCAUAGUCUCUGGAUAUAGACCCGAAACCGAGUGAUCUAGCCAUGGGCAGGUUGAAGGUUGAGUAACAUCAACUGGAGGACCGAACCGACUAAUGUUGAAAAAUUAGCGGAUGACUUGUGGCUAGGGGUGAAAGGCCAAUCAAACUCGGAGAUAGCUGGUUCUCCCCGAAAGCUAUUUAGGUAGCGCCUCGGACGAAUACUACUGGGGGUAGAGCACUGUUAAGGCUAGGGGGUCAUCCCGACUUACCAACCCUUUGCAAACUCCGAAUACCAGUAAGUACUAUCCGGGAGACACACGGCGGGUGCUAACGUCCGUCGUGGAGAGGGAAACAACCCAGACCGCCAGCUAAGGUCCCAAAUUACAGCUAAGUGGGAAACGAUGUGGGAAGGCUUAGACAGCUAGGAUGUUGGCUUAGAAGCAGCCAUCAUUUAAAGAAAGCGUAAUAGCUCACUAGUCGAGUCGGCCUGCGCGGAAGAUGUAACGGGGCUAAGUUGUAAACCGAAGCUGCGGCAAUGUUCUUUGAA
Molecule: ribosomal RNA, 1171 nt
Filed under: Vibrio vulnificus
Lineage: Bacteria; Pseudomonadati; Pseudomonadota; Gammaproteobacteria; Vibrionales; Vibrionaceae
Description: partial 23S ribosomal RNA
Rfam family: Bacterial large subunit ribosomal RNA
Source: RNAcentral